AACGAACGCUGGCGGCAUGCCUAACACAUGCAAGUCGAACGAGACCUUCGGGUCUAGUGGCGCACGGGUGCGUAACGCGUGGGAACCUGCCCUUAGGUUCGGAAUAACUCCCCGAAAGGGGUGCUAAUACCGGAUAAUGUCUUCGGACCAAAGAUUUAUCGCCUUGGAUGGGCCCGCGUUGGAUUAGCUAGUUGGUAGGGUAAAAGCCUACCAAGGCGACGAUCCAUAGCUGGUCUGAGAGGAUGAUCAGCCACGCUGGGACUGAGACACGGCCCAGACUCCUACGGGAGGCAGCAGUGGGGAAUAUUGGACAAUGGGCGAAAGCCUGAUCCAGCAAUGCCGCGUGAGUGAUGAAGGCCUUAGGGUUGUAAAGCUCUUUUACCCGGGAUGAUAAUGACAGUACCGGGAGAAUAAGCUCCGGCUAACUCCGUG
This 432-nucleotide ribosomal RNA is filed under the name uncultured bacterium. RNAcentral describes it as "partial 16S ribosomal RNA". It matches the Rfam family "Bacterial small subunit ribosomal RNA", at positions 29 to 507 of the family's 1533-position model. The record is from RNAcentral.